GACGAACGCUGGCGGCGUGCUUAACACAUGCAAGUCGAACGGAAAGGCCCUGCUUUUGUGGGGUGCUCGAGUGGCGAACGGGUGAGUAACACGUGAGUAACCUGCCCUUGACUUUGGGAUAACUUCAGGAAACUGGGUCUAAUACCGGAUAGGAGCUCCUGCUGCAUGGGGGGGGGUGGAAAGUUUCGGCGGUUGGGGAUGGACUCGCGGCUUAUCAGCUUGUUGGUGGGGUAGUGGCUUACCAAGGCUUUGACGGGUAGCCGGCCUGAGAGGGUGACCGGCCACAUUGGGACUGAGAUACGGCCCAGACUCCUACGGGAGGCAGCAGUGGGGAAUAUUGCACAAUGGGCGGAAGCCUGAUGCAGCAACGCCGCGUGCGGGAUGACGGCCUUCGGGUUGUAAACCGCUUUCGCCUGUGACGAAGCGUGAGUGACGGUAAUGGGUAAAGAAGCACCGGCUAACUACGUG
RNAcentral lists this ribosomal RNA (468 nucleotides) under uncultured bacterium. RNAcentral's name for it is "partial 16S ribosomal RNA". It matches the Rfam family "Bacterial small subunit ribosomal RNA", at positions 28 to 507 of the family's 1533-position model. The record is from RNAcentral.